UAGCAGAAUCUCGUUGCACGGGCAUAAUUGUUUGAACAGAACCUUUUCCAAAUGAAGUUGUGCCCAUUAUUACCGCACGUUUAUGAUCUUGCAAUGCGCCUGCAACUAUUUCAGAUGCAGAUGCUGACCCUCCAUUUAUUAAAAUAAUAACUGGUAAUCCAUCAGUAAUAUCACCAGAUUUAGCAUUAAAUUUUUGCUGUCCCUUGGCUUUUCUUCCUCUAGUAGAUACUAUUUCUCCCCUAUUUAAAAAAGCAUCAGAUACAGCUACUGCUUGAUUUAAUAGUCCUCCAGGGUUGUUC
RNAcentral lists this non-coding RNA (299 nucleotides) under marine eukaryotic metagenome. RNAcentral describes it as "Rickettsia sRNA47". The stretch from base 25 to 148 matches the Rfam family "Rickettsia sRNA47", at positions 34 to 157 of the family's 316-position model. The record is from RNAcentral.